RNAcentral lists this ribosomal RNA (253 nucleotides) under uncultured bacterium. RNAcentral's name for it is "partial 16S ribosomal RNA". It matches the Rfam family "Bacterial small subunit ribosomal RNA", at positions 524 to 776 of the family's 1533-position model. The record is from RNAcentral.
UACGAAGGGGGCUAGCGUUGUUCGGAAUUACUGGGCGUAAAGCGCACGUAGGCGGAUUGUUAAGUCAGAUGUGAAAGCCCCGGGCUUAACCUGGGAACUGCGUUUGAAACUGGGAGACUUGAGUGUGGCAGAGGGGGGUGGAAUUCCACGUGUAGCAGUGAAAUGCGUAGAGAUGUGGAGGAACACCGAUGGCGAAGGCAGCCCCCUGGGUCAACACUGACGCUCAUGCACGAAAGCGUGGGGAGCAAACAGG